GGGGCCCCGCACAAGCAGCGGAGCGUGUGGUUUAAUUCGAUGCUACACGAAGAACCUUACCUGGGCUUGACAUACAGGUAGUAGUGAAGUGAAAGCGGAUCGAUCCUUCGGGGAGCCUGUACAGGUGCUGCAUGGCUGUCGUCAGCUCGUGCCGUGAGGUGUCGGGUUAAGUCCCGUAACGAGCGCAACCCUUGCUCUUAGUUAUACGUGUCUAAGAGGACUGCCGGCGGUAAGCCGGAGGAAGGUGGGGAUGACGUCAAGUCAGCAUGGCCUUUAUGUCCAGGGCUACACACACGCUACAAUGGCCGGUACAAUGGGUAGCUAAACCGCGAGGUGGAGCCAAUCCUGUAAAGCCGGUCUCAGUUCGAAUUGCAGGCUGCAACUCGCCUGCAUGAAGUCGGAGUUGCUAGUAAUCGCAGGUCAGCAAUACUGCGGUGAAUACGUUCCCGGGCCUUGUACACACCGCCCGUCACGUCAUGGAAGCUGGCAACACCUGAAGCCGGUGAGCUAACCCGAAAGGGGGGCAACUGUCGAAGGUGAGGCUGGUGACUGGGACGAAGUCGUAACAAGGUAACCAAGGGCGAA
This 585-nucleotide ribosomal RNA is filed under the name uncultured organism. RNAcentral describes it as "bacterial SSU rRNA". It matches the Rfam family "Bacterial small subunit ribosomal RNA", at positions 915 to 1510 of the family's 1533-position model. The record is from RNAcentral.